GGUCAAGUUAGUAAGGGUCCACGGUGGAUGCCUUGGGGCCAGGAGCCGAAGAAGGGCGUGGCAAGACUGCGAAAAGCCCCGGUCAGCUGUCUAGCGAGCUUAGCCGGGGAUGCCCGAAUGGGGAAACCCCCCUUGGGUCAAUCCAAGGGACCCCGAUUUAUCGGGGGGGUAAGCGGGUGAACUGAAACAUCUAAGUAACCCGAGGAAAAUAAAUCAACCGAGAUUCCCAAAGUAGUGGCGAACGAAAUGGGAAUAGCCCAAACCUUCCGGGCUUAGUGGGCUGAGGCCCUAUGUCCGGAGGGGGUUGUAACACACACCUGUUCCAGCCUCAGGAGGAGCAAGGAGUAAGAAACUCGUUCCUUAGCCGAACGAUCCUGGAAAGGACGACCGGAGAAGGUGAUAGUCCUGUAAGCGAAAGGGAACGAGCUCCUGGUGUGCUGUUGAGUACCACGGGACACGUGAAAUCUUGUGGGAAGCUGGGGAGACCACUCUCCAAGGCUAAAUACUCCUGGCCACCGAUAGUGAACCAGUACCGUGAGGGAAAGGUGAAAAGUACCCCAGAUGGGGAGUGAAAUAGACCUGAAACCGUGGACUUACAAGCCGUGGGAGUCCUUCCUUGGAAGGAUGACUGCGUGCCUUUUGAAGAAUGAGCCGGCGAGUUAAUCUAGGCAGCUUGGUUAAGGAGCAUGAGUUCCGGAGCCGAAGCGAAAGCGAGUCCGAAUAGGGCGUGCCGCGGGCGGCGGCAAAUCCUGCGGAGGAAGACCGAGAUGACGCAAACCUUGUGCCAGAGUGCCUUCGGGCGCUUGAAGCACGUUCAGGUGCGCUGACUUUCGGGAAGAAUCCAAAGGUCGAGCCGCCACUAUGCCUGCAGUGUUGUCUGGAUUAGACCCGAAACCGGGUGAGCUACCCAUGGCCAGGCUGAAACCCCGAUAAUAUCGGGGCGAAGGGCCGAACCCGUGUCUGGUACAAAAGGCUGGGAUGAGCUGUGGGUAGAGGUGAAAUGCCAAUCGAACUCGGAGAUAGCUGGUUCUCCCCGAAAUGUAUUUAGGUACAGCCUCAAGGUAGUCUGGGGGAGGUAGGGCACUGGAUGGGCUAGGGGGCGUGAGCCUGCCAAACCCAACCAAACCACGAAUGCCCCUAGAUGUUCCUUGGGAGUGAGACAGUGGGGGAUAAGCUCCAUUGUCGAGAGGGAAACAGCCCAGACCGCAGGCUAAGGUCCCGAAGUGUGGACUAAGUGUGAAAGGAAGUGGGGGUCCUAAAACAGCUAGGAGGUUGGCUUAGAAGCAGCCAUCCUUUGAAGAGUGCGUAACAGCUCACUAGUCAAGGGGUCCUGCGUCGAAAAUGUAACGGGGCUAAAGUCCGCCACCGAAGCCACGGUCCCUUCGAUUCAGUCGGAGGGAGGUAGGGGAGCGUUCCCAGGGCGCUGAAGUUCUAGACGUGAGUCGGGAUGGCGCGCUGGGAAGUGAGAAUGCCGGCAUGAGUAGCGACACUCCUGGUGAGAAUCCAGGACACCGAAAGCCUAAGGUUUCCUACGCAACGUUGAUCGGCGUAGGGUAAGUCGGGCCUAAGCCAUAGCGUACAAGCGAAGGCGAUGGACAACGGGUCAAAAUUCCCGUACCACCGUUAUAUCGUUUUAAGGCAAAGGGGGGACGCGGGAAGAUAGGCGGAGCGCGCCCAUUGGACAUGGUGCGUUUAGCCCUGAAGGC
Molecule: ribosomal RNA, 1706 nt
Filed under: SAR202 cluster bacterium
Lineage: Bacteria; Bacillati; Chloroflexota; Dehalococcoidia
Description: partial 23S ribosomal RNA
Rfam family: Bacterial large subunit ribosomal RNA
Source: RNAcentral